AGAGCGAACGCUGGCGGCAGGCCUAACACAUGCAAGUCGAGCGCCCCGCAAGGGGAGCGGCAGACGGGAGAGUAACACGUGGGAACGUACCCUUUGGUUCGGAACAACCCAGGGAAACUUGGGCUAAUACCGAAUAAGCCCUUACGGGGAAAGAUUUAUCGCCAAAAGGAUCGGCCCGCGUCUGAUUAGCUAGUUGGUGAGGUAACGGCUCACCAAGGCGACGAUCAGUAGCUGGUCUGAGAGGAUGAUCAGCCUCACUGGGACUGAGACACGGCCCAGACUCCUACGGGAGGCAGCAGUGGGGAAUAUUGGACAAUGGGCGCAAGCCUGAUCCAGCCAUGCCGCGUGGGUGAUGAAGGCCCUAGGGUUGUAAAGCCCUUUCGGGCGGGAAGAUAAUGACGGUACCCGCAGAAGAACGCCCGGCUAACUUCGCGCCAGCAGCCGC
This 445-nucleotide ribosomal RNA is filed under the name uncultured bacterium. RNAcentral's name for it is "SSU rRNA". It matches the Rfam family "Bacterial small subunit ribosomal RNA", at positions 26 to 518 of the family's 1533-position model. The record is from RNAcentral.